Molecule: ribosomal RNA, 1142 nt
Filed under: uncultured bacterium
Lineage: Bacteria
Description: bacterial SSU rRNA
Rfam family: Bacterial small subunit ribosomal RNA
Source: RNAcentral
AGCUAGUUGGUGAGGUAAUGGCUCACCAAGGCAAUGACGCUUAACUGGUUUGAGAGGAUGAUCAGUCACACUGGAACUGAGACACGGUCCAGACUCCUACGGGAGGCAGCAGUGGGGAAUAUUGCACAAUGGAGGAAACUCUGAUGCAGCAACGCCGCGUGGAGGAUGACACAUUUCGGUGCGUAAACUCCUUUUAUAUAAGAAGAUAAUGACGGUAUUAUAUGAAUAAGCACCGGCUAACUCCGUGCCAGCAGCCGCGGUAAUACGGGGGGUGCAAGCGUUACUCGGAACCACUGGGCGUAAAGAGCAUGUAGGCUGGUAGAUAAGUUGGAAGUGAAAUCCUAUGGCUUAACCAUAGAACUGCUUCCAAAACUGUUUACCUAGAGUAUGGGAGAGGUAGAUGGAAUUUCUGGUGUAGGGGUAAAAUCCGUAGAGAUCAGAAGGAAUACCGAUUGCGAAGGCGAUCUACUGGAACAUUACUGACGCUCAGAUGCGAAAGCGUGGGGAGCGAACAGGAUUAGAUACCCUGGUAGUCCACGCCCUAAACGAUGCACACUAGUUGUUGCUAUGCUAGACAUAGCAGUAAUGCAGUUAACACAGUAAGUGUGCCGCCUGGGGAGUACGGUCGCAAGAUUAAAACUCAAAGGAAUAGACGGGGACCCGCACAAGCGGUGGAGCAUGUGGUUUAAUUCGACGAUACGCGAAGAACCUUACCUGGCCUUGACAUAGAGAGAACUUACUAGAGAUAGUUUGGUGCUAGUUUACUAGAACUUUCAUACAGGUGCUGCACGGCUGUCGUCAGCUCGUGUCGUGAGAUGUUGGGUUAAGUCCCGCAACGAGCGCAACCCUCGUGUUUAGUUACUAACGGUUCGGCCGAGGACUCUAGACAGACUGCCUCCGUAAGGAGGAGGAAGGUGAGGACGACGUCAAGUCAUCAUGGCCCUUACGGCCAGGGCUACACACGUGCUACAAUGGGGCAUACAAAGAGCAGCAAUACCGCAAGGUGGAGCAAAUCUCAUAAAAUGUCUCCCAGUUCGGAUAGCAGUCUGCAACUCGACUGCUUGAAGUUGGAAUCGCUAGUAAUCGUAGAUCAGCAAUGCUACGGUGAAUACGUUCCCGGGUCUUGUACUCACCGCCCGUCA